RNAcentral lists this long non-coding RNA (3029 nucleotides) under Aquilegia coerulea. Its description in RNAcentral is "long non-coding RNA (ACOE_LNC001322)". The record is from RNAcentral. Lineage: Eukaryota; Viridiplantae; Streptophyta; Magnoliopsida; Ranunculales; Ranunculaceae.
UGGAAUCUGAUCAACACAUCUAUUAUAUAUUUAUACUCGAUAUAGUCUGGCAGUGCAGAGAUAGAAUUUUUAAUCCUUGACAUUCAUCAUGUGUUCCAAUAAAAAUACAUUCAUCCUUGACAUUCAUCCAACACAGUUCCAAGGGAAUGUCAGUUUCAGCAAAAGUAAGGCUCAGAGAUCACACAAGUACUUAACAACAUGAUUAUACAAUCAUCCAACGAAUUAUACAUGUCUAAUACGCUUUUCUUUGAUAAUCCUGACUCUCAAAUAGAGCUUAGCUCCUCCCAAAAUGCAACAACAGUCGCAGUGAUUACACAUUCUUUGUCCCUGGAUCAAAGCAACAGUGAGAGUGAGCUAGUGAGCUACAAGUGGAGUUAUUAUCUUAAGAAAUUUGAAAGCAUGUUCAAAUACUCAAAGCUCUUCUAAGCUCAGAAUAAUUUUAUUUGUAAGUUAUGGAUGGUAUUAUGGAUGGAGAUGACAGAGAGAGCAUCCCCCUAAAUGUACAUUCUUGUCAUUCUAGAAGAAGAAAAACCGAAGAAAAAUAAAAAUAAUUUUCUUUUCAGCACUGCUUGAAACAUUGUAUACCUAAACAAAUCAGUGCACAAGUCACUCAUCAAAAUGAUAAUGUGGACAUUUAUUCAAUAAAAUUUGAAUUGACCCAUUUUCCACUAAUUUCUAAUUGAAGCUGCUCUACCAAAGACACCAAAACUGCUUUUAUCAGGGAUGUUCUACUUUCAAGUUUUCUUAAUCAGCUUCAAGUACACAUAAAUUUUAUUUGGUCUCUCCAACAUAGGUUUCAACUAGAUGGAAAAAGAGAAAAUAAUAAGCUAUUAAUAAGCGGACCUGUCAGAGUAUAAAAUUCUUCCAAGAUGGGACUAUGCAGCUAUAAAUAAGUCUUACGAAAGGAUAUCACGAGUGACGGUGCCAUAAUAUUAGGAACUAACUUCGCAGAACCAUCAGAAAUUUCAAGUUCAGCUAAUGAUUCAUGAUUUCAUGACAUGUUUGGAGCCAUCUUCUUGAGAUCAUUCUUCGAAGGUCUUCCAAUUAAAGCUAUCAGCUUAGAUUGCCCGACAUAUUCCCAAGGAAAUCAUUCAGACGAAAAGGAACAGCAAAUCUUAUGACAACGAAGCACAACAUGGUGCCAGGAGACUCGUGCCCUUACUCUUUAAAGGAUAGCUUGUUCAUGAACUUCAGAUUUUCAAACUUUACAUUCAGAUGGGAUUCUACCAUCUUGUAGUUAGAUUUUUCUCUGAGGAACCUAACAUACCAAUUUGGACAGGAAGAAUGAGAUCCAUAACAAUGAUUUGCUCUAGAGCAAGAUUGUGUUUCAAAACACCACAAAGAUCCUAUAAACCAUAGUUCCUCUAUGGUAGAGUUUAUGACUCCCACACUAUAGAAACCACAAAAGUUUUGCUUAUCCAAAUAUCUUACUCGUUAACAAUGUAUCAUUAGAAUUAAUCAGACAAAAGAACAAAAAUAACUUAUUAACACAUCAAAAGACAGAAGGCAAUUAAUGCGUACCAAUGAGGGUAUGAACCACAAGAUAUAAUGUACACUGUAAAUUCAGACAGCAUGUAAACUAUCUCUUUCUUUUUCCAGAAGUAGUUUUGUGGGCAUCGUUAACCAUUCCAAAUGCUGAUUUCAGUGAAAUGAGGCUACCCACAAGUGGAUGCGCUUCAAGAUUAUACCUAAACUUUUUGUCAGCCCAUUCUAAUUGUAGAUUUCUAGACUUUCCGCUUGUAGGAUUAUAACCAAAUAGUAACUUGUUGUCCAAAAGUAGUAAAAUUUCACCAUUCUUGCGAAUUUUUAUAAGCUUCGCGCCAACAUAAAUCCUACGACCAUCAGAUAUUGUGUUUGUGUUGAUCGAAAACUGCUUGACCCAAGAAUCCUUGACAUUGUACUUUUUCAUCACCCAUAUAUCAAUAUAUGAAUUACCAGAGGAAUCCACAACAGAAAGAUUAUCUUCAAACAACCCAAGAGUGUAGAAUUUUUGUGGCUUUUUAACGAGAUGCAGUUCUGGAGUUGUUGGAAUGUAUCCAAACUCUACUAGAGCCAAGUUAAAGGAUACAAUCAAUGGCGACGAACUUUGAUCACCUGUAAUCCAAUGAAGACAUCCAUUGACAACUGCCGAAGAAGCUAUUUCAUUUGAUCUAUGAAGUACCUCCGGGGCAAUUCCAACUUCUCUUCUCCAUGUAGUACUACCUAGUGUAUGCACUUGAACUUCAUUCUUAAAAAUCUGAGCUUCGACAUCAACCCCAACAAACAAAACAAGCACCAAUUUAAAUUCCUUGUUCGAAUUAUCAAACCCAAACCCAGAUAACCAUUUAUCGGUUAAUAAAUUAUGGCUAACGUAAUUCGGGUAUUCAAUUGGAGAACAGAGUUCAGGAAUAGGAAAUGAUGGAAGCUUAGAGCAUUCUUCAGUAAUGGGGUUAUAUAUAUAAAUAGGGUGGGAUGGCAAAUUGAAAACCAUAACAUAUUGAAUACUACAAAUGGGGUUAAGCAAGCAAACAAAACCAUUGCAAGAACCUAAGAUAAAAGGAUAAUCAUUAUCAAACUUUUCAGUAAUGAAAUCUUCAUUUAAUUCAAUGUAGGGUUUAAGGGGUCUUUUGUUUAGUGCUUCAUUGUCUUCAAUAUAGUAUAUUCUUGAGCCAAACAACCUACUACGAGCUUUGAAAUGGAGAAGAAGAUCAGGAGAGAUAGUGGAGAGUUGAGUAAAUUGGAUUUUAGGGAAACUGGGAUCAGAUAAAAUUCUACACCAUAGUUUAGAAACACACCUGCAUUGACAGCUCUGUUUCCAAUGUAUCCUUGCAAGGAUAUUGGUCGUCAUGAUAUCUUCUGGCAAUCUAUCCAUUUGUUUAAAUCUCUUGUUGGAGAGCAGAUUUGAACAACAACAAGGAAGAUGAGGAACAACUGUGGUAGUGAGUACUGAGUAGUGAGUAGUGACUACUGACUAGUGAGUGAGAGUGAGAGUGAGGUUUUCGAAUUGUUAAAGAUCUUCAGUAAUGGGGUUUAGGCCUGCAAAAAUGGCC